GACAGAGGAGCCAAGCGUUGUCCGGAUUGACUGGGCGGAAAGCGCACGCAGGCGGUCGUGCACGUGGGGUGUGAAAACUGGCGGCUUAACUGCCAGAGGCCACCUCAUACGGCGCGACUCGAGCCCUGCAGAGGUCCAUGGAAUUGCCGGUGUAGUGGUGAAAUGCGUAGAGAUCGGCAGGAACACCCAGGGGGAAACCAGUGGACUGGGCAGGAGCUGACGCUCAGGUGCGAAAGCGUGGGGAGCGAACCGG
Molecule: ribosomal RNA, 253 nt
Filed under: uncultured bacterium
Lineage: Bacteria
Description: partial 16S ribosomal RNA
Rfam family: Bacterial small subunit ribosomal RNA
Source: RNAcentral